Molecule: transfer RNA, 71 nt
Filed under: Loxodonta africana (African savanna elephant)
Lineage: Eukaryota; Metazoa; Chordata; Mammalia; Proboscidea; Elephantidae
Rfam family: tRNA
About the family: Transfer RNA (tRNA) molecules are approximately 80 nucleotides in length. Their secondary structure includes four short double-helical elements and three loops (D, anti-codon, and T loops).
Source: Rfam by way of RNAcentral
GCAGUGGUGGUUCGGUGGUAAAAUUCUUGCCUCCCAUGCAGGAGACUAGGGUUGGAUUCCCAGCCAACGCG